CCUGUUGCCACAAACCCGUAGAUCCGAACUUGUGGUGAUAGUCCACACAAGCUUGUGUCUAUAGGUAUGUGUCUGUUAGG
This is a microRNA precursor of Jaculus jaculus (lesser Egyptian jerboa), 80 nucleotides long. Ensembl annotates it as microRNA 100. Its record names the gene Mir100. The record is from Ensembl. NCBI's taxonomy places the organism in Eukaryota, Metazoa, Chordata, Mammalia, Rodentia, Dipodidae.